Molecule: long non-coding RNA, 704 nt
Organism: Rosa chinensis
Lineage: Eukaryota; Viridiplantae; Streptophyta; Magnoliopsida; Rosales; Rosaceae
Exons: 3
Source: RefSeq, a predicted model, not a curated record
UUCGCCAUCCUUCUCUCUCAGCCUCUCACAUCCUGCUUCAUUUCCUAUGAAACCAAUCUUGGCCCAAAAUCCGUAAUACCCAAAUCAAAAAACCAAACACCUCAACCCCAAAUACCUCCUCCAAUCUCACGUGCUCUCUCGACUUCUUGCUUAGCAAUCAGUUGCUUGUCGCGCGCACUGGAUUUCUGUUUAGCAAUCUAAUCUUGUGGCUCGUUAGAAAUUGAAUGGGUACCAGGCUUCGAUCAAAUUUGUAGAUUGCAGAGGUCUUCGUUUUGAGUUAUAUUUGCAGGUCUCCUGUUUGUUGCAGUUGCGUUUGGGUCUUAAAGGCUCCUGCUGAUGCGAAGAAACCUUUGUAUCUUCAAUUUCCGAAGCUGGAGGAGGAUUAUGGUCUAGCAAAGCGGGCUAUGAAGGUCUACCCAAACAAUGAAACCAUGAUAAUAUUGACGGCCUUUGCUUCUAAAACCAGAUAUUCAAGCUUCAACUUACAAACGCAGACCUCCUUCUUCUCCUUUUCUCCUCUUCACUUUGUUCCCUGUGGCGCCUCUUCAAUCCUGGUCAAUAUUGCACAUAAUCAUCCAAUUCAAAUCACACAAACCCUGAAUCACAUCAUCCAAUUUAUAUGAAACAGAAAGGGUUUUGUUUUCUCACUUUGUACAAGAACAAACUGUCGUUCUUCCUCUUUUGAUUUUAUUUAUACUUUUGAU